Molecule: long non-coding RNA, 1005 nt
Filed under: Scleropages formosus (Asian bonytongue)
Lineage: Eukaryota; Metazoa; Chordata; Actinopteri; Osteoglossiformes; Osteoglossidae
Description: lncRNA (ENSSFOG00015024318.1)
Source: RNAcentral
CGAGAAAUGUUUAUGCUGCAAAAACACAUUUUCCAGAAAAGGCCAGUAAAUAUGGUGUUUAUUAUUUUUUUUUUGCUCGCAGACAGUACACAGCUUGUACUCGUAAGGGGAGCAGUGUUUUCAGAGGACUGCUUCAAGUACUGGAAUGUAAGUACAGGAAAGUGUCUCACAGGAGUUACUACUAUGGGGUAAAAGCUGUCAUUCACUUCACGGGGAUCCGUGUCUGUUAUCCGUGAGCUGCACCGCCACGGGUUUCUCCGAAAUACUGGGACUGACCCAGAACGAUGAAGGUGACGAACUGGCCCAGAGUGUCCACGUCUUCGCCCAGGAAGCGCUUGUCCGUCAGCGUCUUCAGAAGGAUGUUUUCUUUUAUUUUCUGUUCUUCCGUGUCUAUUAGCGUCUUCAGAAAGAUGUUUUCUUUUAUUUUCUGUUCUUCCGUGUCUAUUACUGUGUUUUGAGCCGAUUUUAAAUUUUCCCUGAUGAGAUUCUCAAACUUGUAUUCAUUGAAACCCCAAUAUUUGUCAAAUCCCACAUAACAUUUAUUGUUUUUUUUUUUUAAGAACCACUCCUUGCACUUUGCCACAAUGACGUCAAAGCAGGACGCCCCGUUCUCCGAAGACGGAAGAAGACACGGAGAGUUUGUCGUGAACCAGUACACAUCCUCACCUUCUUUAAUUGGCACGUCUCGUCGGGACACGUGCAGUUCGCUGUGUGUUACUGACUCCCUUCCUCUUCACCAUCUACGCCUCCGACUUCCUGUACACGUGGCGAAAAGGAGGAGCGGGAGGCCAGGAGAACUGGUGGAUCCCAGUUUAUCAAGACCUUCUUUAAGAAGACAGGUUAGUGCACUGUAGGGAUGUCAGUAUGAUGGGACGCCGUGAACAGAUAAUUUCUCCGCCCGAUUUCAUCCUUUCGCAGGAACAGGACACCUAAUAAGAGCUGUGUGUGUGUGUUUAAUAAUAUAUUGUGCAGUAGCAUAUUAUCUUCAUCAAAAAUGAAGACAAU